Molecule: non-coding RNA, 1899 nt
Organism: Manis javanica (Malayan pangolin)
Lineage: Eukaryota; Metazoa; Chordata; Mammalia; Pholidota; Manidae
Source: RefSeq, a predicted model, not a curated record
CGCCGGGGCGCUCUCUGCGCCUGCCUCCGUCAGCGAGGAUCGCCCGGCUACUUCUGGAGGUCUAUCCCCAGGCCAGGAUGGGGGUUUUCCUCGCCUCUAGCAAGGAGAGGCUCGUCUCCGACAGCCGAGUGAUUCGCCGUACAGACGGGCAUCUGCGGCGUCCUCAGGAACUUCUUCGAUGGGCCUGUCUUCCUCCGAGAUGUUUAUAAAGGGUUAUGGGGUUGGGCCGACGUUAAUGUUACCCUGCUACAAUCGUAAAUGCUUGUUGAAUGACUGAAUGUUAAAGGGAUAAAUGAGCGUAUAACGGAGAAAACUCCGGACUAAAUACCAGAAAGUCUAGUCGUAUAAACUUGUUCUGUGGUAUUUGGGUCAGCGAAGAAGGAACCGUCUUACUCGCUCUGCCUACCCAAUAAGACUGAUGCAAGUUUCAAAUGAGCAUUUGUGUGAAAAUGCUUUUUUAACUGUGCAGGAUACAAAGGAUGCAAAAUUCUCUGCCGCUUAUGGAAUAAUCCCACCCACAGAAAAUGCCAUCAGGGAGCCCACUGCUACUUUUCCUCCUGGAAUUACAUUCUUUCUCUGCAGAUUCUACAUAUUUGAACCCCUGGCCUAGUAAACUUUUCUCAAAGUAUUCUACUUUCUAUCACAUAAAAUUACAUGAAAACAAAAAUAUUAUCCGUGAAAUAUUUGAAUUGCUCAAAAAAAGACUGCAUACUAAAGAUACACCUUGAUGACUACAUUUCACAUUUAGAUAAUAAAGUCUUUUGGCUUUUGGCUAAAUAUAUGAUACUGUAUUUUACUUCUAUGAUGACAUUAUAUUUACAGUGUGCCAGGCAAUGAGCUAAGCACUCUGCAUAUGUUUUCACAGUUAUUUCUUAUAGCAGUGCCAUCCAUGGACACUAUAUUAUAUCUAUUUUAUGGAUGAGUAAACGAUGACUUAGAGAUAUUGAUUAUGUCUAGAUUCACUUGAUUAGUAAGUAGCAAAGUCAGGACUUUAACAAAUUUGAAUGACUGGAGAGACCUGGCUCUUUACUUCUAUUCCUUUAUCCUGAGCUGUCAGAAUUAAAAGUCAUCCUUAAACUUACAGGAAGUGAAGCACAAUUGAAUCUCUUCUCUCUCCGCAUCCUUCCAAUAUCCAGGUUUAAAGCUGUAUUUUCCCGUCUUGGAAACAUUAACUCAUUUUCCCCCACACGGAUAAUUUGGCACCAAAUGUUUCUUGCUAUGUAUUAGAAAUUUUAUUAUAUUUCUUUUCAAUCUUUUUUUGACGUUUUCUAUAUAUAUGGAAUUUGGGGGGCAGGGCUAAAGAGGUAGAAGUACUAAAAAUGAGAAACCUAGGGAAGAACUAGACUGCCUUUUCCUGGAAAUUUAGAAAACUUAAAAGCUCAAUAAAUUAUUUGAUAUAUACAAGACAUAUGCUGCAGCAUUAUUUGCAACUAUAGACAAUUAGAAACAGCUUAAGUACCCAUAAUAGAGUAGCUAGUAAAUAAUGGUAUAUCUAAUAAUAGCAUACUAUUUAGAUUUUUAAAAGAGUAAGUGCUUUUAACUGUGGAAAAUAGAAUUAGUGAAGAGUUGAUUUCCUUUUUAUAUCUUCUUUACCACUUAGAUGUUUUGCAGUAGGCAUGUAUUAUUUUGAAGAAGCAGUUUUUUCCUAUAUCUAAAUAUAUUCCAGGGAGAAAAUCAUGUUUAAAAAGUUUGUAUAAUACCAUCAUACGGUUGCUUUUAAAAAUAUAUAGUUAUGUGAAUGUAUGUAUUAGUGUGUAUAUACAUACACACACAUAGACGUACACCAAAGAUGUGAGCUUAGAGAUUAUUUUAGUUUGCCUCAUUUUCUACUGUAUCUAAAAUAAGUGUUUGUAUGAUUUUUGCUUAUGUAAUUUUUUAAAUUAAAAAAAUAACUGAUAA